CUGUGAGGUGAAAUAAUUCUUACCUAUUCCUCCUUUUGGAGGGCAGAUUCGAACAUGAUGAUUGAAGUUUGCAUGAUAUACAAUUAACAUCUAUGUAGUUGGGACUUGCAACACCCUGAUUGCUCCUAGGGGCCAGAG
Non-coding RNA from Otolemur garnettii (small-eared galago), 138 nucleotides. The record is from Rfam. NCBI's taxonomy places the organism in Eukaryota, Metazoa, Chordata, Mammalia, Primates, Galagidae.